AUUCCCGCCUGUCACGCGGGUGACCCGGGUUCGAUCCCCGGCAAUGGCGUUUUAUCACGUUUUCUCAUUUUUUUUUCCCCGUUUGCUUAUUUUCUAAACCGAUGGGCGAUUCCGGCGAUCAUGGUCGACGCAGUAGCCCCGUUGGCGUCGACCAGCUCAACGCUGCCUCCUAUCUCGAUCCCCACUAUUGGGGCGAGAGGUUCAAAGACUACUCCCACUUCCAACACCUCCUCCGCCCCUUCCUCAUUCCAUCCCACUCGGUAUUGGAGAUCGGUUGUGGCAAGCCGCGGCUCUGCAAGGAGCUUCAUAAGGAUGGCGUCGCCGACAUGACCUGCGUCGACAUCUCUCCUGUCGCGGUUGAAAGGAUGCGGAGCCGCUUUCGAGACGAGGGACAUGAAGGAGAUGAGUCUGAUUUUCCUUGCACCGCCAGGCGUCAAGGUGGUUCAGGCCGACAUGCAAGAUCUACCUUUCGGCAGUGAGUCAUGGCAUUCAAUUUGGAUUCUUUGGUAAUAUUGCUAGGUAUUGGAGAUCAGUCAUGGCAACUCGCUGCUCUGCGAGGAGCUUCACAAGGAUGGCGUGGCUGACAUGACCUGCGUCGACAUCUCUCCUGUCGCGGUUGAAAGGAUGCGGAGCCGCUUUCCAGACAAGGGACUUAAAGUUUUCCUUGCACCGCCAGGCAUCAAGGUGGUUCAGGCCGACAUGCAAGACCUACCUUCGGCAGUGAGUCCUGUUCUUCAAUAUUGUGAUCGAGAAAGGCUGAAAUGCCCUUUUAAGUCCUAUGUGCUUAUGUCACAUUCCGGUCGGUGUGGUGCGGCGAGGUCCCAGCCUAUAUGUCGUCUUCUGGAUCCAGAUCACGCUCGACUAGGUGUCAUUAGAUAUAGCUCUUCAUCCUACUCGAAGCCAUCUUCUCUUCUGGAUCAUAACAACUCGAACAGAAUCCCGACCAAUUCACUGAUCCAUCCGAUGGUACCCCCUAGGCCAGGCUCCGUUACUGAUUCAUAUCCAUCCUUUCGGUGGGACCGUGACGACUCGGUCAGCAUCCGAUCAGCUCCUCCAUCCAUCCGAGGGCGCCCCCUGGGCUAGGGUACGUUCUCGUACUCGGUAUUUGUUUAUUUUAUUACUAUUCUAUUAUUAUCUGGAUACUCAUACAUUUGUGGGAU
Molecule: long non-coding RNA, 1160 nt
Organism: Zingiber officinale
Lineage: Eukaryota; Viridiplantae; Streptophyta; Magnoliopsida; Zingiberales; Zingiberaceae
Exons: 6
Source: RefSeq, a predicted model, not a curated record